UCCCGCAUACACAAUUUUCCCGUUUUUUUUUGGCUCCCUGUAAAUCAACCCGCUCUAGUGUACAUAUGUAUGAUAUUAGUCUGUGACUAGUAAAAGCAAAACUGAAGAAAAAACCCAAAAUAAUACAAUAACAAAACACAAAAACGCAAAACAUUAGUUUUCACUCAUUUUUUGCGGCUACUUCUCUUCAUCGUUGCAUUUGCGGGCAUAGCGUAAGCCUAGGAAGUCAGCAGGCAGCUAAACAGCUGUGCUCACAGCCAGCCAACCCAGGAGUGUGGCACAAUGUGCAAAAAUGUGCUCGUGCGUUAUGCACAAAUUCGCAGCUGCAAUUACGGCUACGACGACGACGGCCAGAGUUGCAUACGAACGAGUUACGUAUGUACAUAUAUAUAUAUUAUAUGCAUGUGCAUAAGUUGCAAUUAUGGUAAAUAUACAAAUGCCGAGUGAGGCUGUGAGAUAUUGUCGCAAAGAUAGGCAUUCAUGCAUACAUAUUUACAUACAUAUAUAAAGUAUGUAUGUAACAACAUACCUGCAUUCAAUAGUAAAAAGGAGUGGGAAACAACAUUUGUAACUUGGUAUGAGAGAGAGAGAUAACGAGAAUACAAGCGUUAGAGAGCAAACGACGAACAGCCAGCAAACAGCAAAAAUGUACAAGAAAUGGAAGUGAAAAUGAAAACCGAAAAGGAAAAUGAAGGCGAUAAAAAUGAAAAUGUAAAAAAUUGCAAGGUAAGCCAGUAUCAUGCAACAACUGUAGCAUAACUAUGCAUACAUAUAAGCAAGAGUUCUGCUAUCAGUGCGCAGCAGUCGCAACAACAACGCGCUACAAAUACACACACAUAUGAGCGUAUGAGGAAUUGCAUGCUCGUUGUUGCAAGUGCACAUGCUAAUCUAUUUAUUUCCACAAGUUUUCACAUACACACACGCUUACUAGCGCACAUACAUAUGUAUACAUUUAUUUACCCGAUGAAAUAACAAUAUUUUAUAUACUUGUUUGUUAGAUAGCAAGGGUAAAUGAAGUAACGUGAUUUAUACUGUGUUCCCACGACUUGCGAUCCUAAGACUGCAGACAUAGUGCAACGAAUAAUAGUGCAGUUGACCGGUAUAAGUCAUUUGUCACACAAUUGGAUCCCUUUUGAUUAGAAUAUAUAUAACGAUAUAACUUCGCUAAAUUCGAAAAUAUUUAAUCCUAAAUACCGGAUUGAAAAAAAUGUUAAUCCCAAGAAUCCCAGGAAUAUAUGCUAAAGCAAAUUUAAAAAACAUAAUUUUAAAAGUAUUGAAAAAUGAAAUAAACAAAAGUUUUAAUUGCCAAAAUUGUGAACAUUUUGAGUAAAUAAUGUCAAAAUAAAAACAUACAAAACUUGUUGGCUACUUUUAGGAAUGUGAAAUAUGCUCCAAUCCAGCCACAGAAGUACGUCAUAAUUUUAACAUUUUUAUUAAAAGCAAAAAUUAUAAUAAACAAAAUAAAAUAUAUUUCCAAUGUUUCGAGGAAAGUUUAUUAUUUAGACCUAAGUUUGGCGAAGAUGUCAUGAACUAAAUAAAGAUAAUGAGAGUAAGAAAAAAUAAGAAGGAAAAAUACUAACCUUAAAAUUGUGUUGAAAAUGUAAUGUGAAUUUAUUUAAUUUUUUUUAUAUAAAAUUUAAAAAUUUAUAAAAUUAAAUAAAUAUUCGUUCGCACAAAUUGCUGAUUAUAAAAAAUUAUGAUAACGAAUUUUUACUAAUAAUACAAAGAAAAAAUUUUCGCUAACCCAAAAACACAGUGCAUGCCAUAGCACUUAAAUUAUAAUUGAAAUGUGAGAUUGUAUUGCUUAAUAAAUAAAUUAUAAAACAUAUAUGUA
Molecule: long non-coding RNA, 1834 nt
Organism: Bactrocera oleae (olive fruit fly)
Lineage: Eukaryota; Metazoa; Arthropoda; Insecta; Diptera; Tephritidae
Source: RefSeq, a predicted model, not a curated record